This 321-nucleotide ribosomal RNA is filed under the name Crinibracon chromusae. Its description in RNAcentral is "partial 28S ribosomal RNA". Lineage: Eukaryota; Metazoa; Arthropoda; Insecta; Hymenoptera; Braconidae. The record is from RNAcentral.
AGUUCAAGAGUACGUGAAACCGUUCAGGGGUAAACCUGAGAAACCCAAAAGAUCGAAUGAGGAUAUUCAUCGUCAGCUCACUUUGUAUAUAUGCAAGCUGUGAUAUGGGUUACUACUUGUAGUAUUGCCCGUACANUCUUGUAUAUUUANUNGCAAGGUGUUGUCGGCGUGCACUUUUCCUCUAGUAGGACGUCGCGACCCGUUGAGCGUCUGUCUACGGCCCAAGCGGGAGCUUUCAAUGAAUUUUAUUUAUUGGAAACCCUUGGUGUUUCCUGACANGCACUCGGCGGUAUUCAUAUGGUAUUGAGUCGCAUAUUAUAU